GCGGACGUGGCGAAACUGGUAGACGCAGCAGACUUAAAAUCUGCCGACCAUUGGUCUUGCGGGUUCAAGUCCCGCCGUCCGCACCA
RNAcentral lists this transfer RNA (86 nucleotides) under compost metagenome. Its description in RNAcentral is "tRNA-Leu". It matches the Rfam family "tRNA". Rfam says of the family: Transfer RNA (tRNA) molecules are approximately 80 nucleotides in length. Their secondary structure includes four short double-helical elements and three loops (D, anti-codon, and T loops). The record is from RNAcentral.